UGGGAAUUUUGGACAAUGGGCGAAAGCCUGAUCCAGCAAUGCCGCGUGUGUGAAGAAGGCCUUCGGGUUGUAAAGCACUUUUGUCCGGAAAGAAAUCCUUGGCUCUAAUACAGUCGGGGGAUGACGGUACCGGAAGAAUAAGCACCGGCUAACUACGUGCCAGCAGCCGCGGUAAUACGUAGGGUGCAAGCGUUAAUCGGAAUUACUGGGCGUAAAGCGUGCGCAGGCGGUUUGCUAAGACCGAUGUGAAAUCCCCGGGCUCAACCUGGGAACUGCAUUGGUGACUGGCAGGCUAGAGUAUGGCAGAGGGGGGUAGAAUUCCACGUGUAGCAGUGAAAUGCGUAGAGAUGUGGAGGAAUACCGAUGGCGAAGGCAGCCCCCUGGGCAAUACUGACGCUCAUGCACGAAAGCGUGGGGAGCAAACAGGAUUAGAUACCCCUGGUAGUCCACGCCCUAAACGAUGUCAACUAGUUGUUGGGGAUUCAUUUCCUUAGUAACGUAGCUAACGCGUGAAGUUGACCGCCUGGGGAGUACGGUCGCAAGAUUAAAACUUAAAUGAAUUGACGGGGUCAUAGCUGUUUCCU
Molecule: ribosomal RNA, 584 nt
Filed under: uncultured bacterium
Lineage: Bacteria
Description: partial 16S ribosomal RNA
Rfam family: Bacterial small subunit ribosomal RNA
Source: RNAcentral